This 2007-nucleotide long non-coding RNA is filed under the name Anas platyrhynchos platyrhynchos (common mallard). RNAcentral's name for it is "lncRNA (ENSAPLG00000028440.1)". Lineage: Eukaryota; Metazoa; Chordata; Aves; Anseriformes; Anatidae. The record is from RNAcentral.
UUUACACGCAGGCUUUUUGUGUCAUCUCUUCCACAUGCUCCAGGAAAGCAGAAGGAUCCAAAGUGGCCCCAAAAGGUUUUAAGAAGUGCCAAACUCCCAGCUGUGCACACGUUUCAUAUUGCUGCUAAAAAGUAAAUAAUUACCAUGUGAGAACCACAGCAACAUUUGAUUCCUGCCCCCCCCCCCCCCCCUCCCACACACACACAUCGUCUUGCUUUGCUCCUGUCUCUCUUCCCUUUUUUCUCCUACUUAGAUCCCAGUCCCAGAGGCUUGUGAUCUGAUUUGUCUUAUGUGACAAAAGGGCUUGAGCCUCAGCAACAAAACCUUUCCCUAGUGAGCAUAACCCAGCAAAGCCUUCUUGUUACUAUGUUUUGCAGGUCAUGGUUUUGCAAGUGCCUAGUGCAGCACAUCCAGGGACAAACCCAUGCCUCAAGCAGCUGGGCAGUAAAGAAGGCCAAGCAAAUCCUUUUCAGAUGCAGCAGCGAGUGCUGCUUCUUCAAUCAGCCUCCCCAGACAUGCACCACUGUCCCUCGGGCUGAAGAAAGAGAAAACCUCUAUAUAACAGUGCAAGGCCAGUCUUGUCUCCAUGACAGUGUGCUGUAACAGGAAGGGAUUUGGAAAGACUCAUCUUCUCUACCCAUCAGCUGAGCAAUGUUCUUCUCUGCCUGUUAAUUGCACUUAGUGUUGAACCACUGCAACAAACAGAAUCUUCCUUCACUCCAUCAAGAAAUUUGCAUCUUUUCCAUCUCCUUACUUUUUCCUAUCUUACUGCUUCUGCCCUUGGUACCUCUCUCCCUGUUUUUGCAUUUUCUCAUAAAGAUGCAUUUAUUCUACUUCCAUCUCUCCCAGUCUUUUCUUCUUCUCUAAGCAUUUCCCCUUUUCAAGUGUUAUCACUCAAUGGAAACAGUUCAGGCCUAUCUCACAUCUCAGCUGCAAUCCCUGUAGUGUCUGUGCCAUCCUAGUAAUAGUUCUGUUCCCAUCUGAGAUCAAAACAAGGACAAGUAGCAAGAAUAUGUGUUUCCAAAAGCAAUCCAUGGCACUGAGCCAAAGCUUGCUGAAGUCAUGAGGGCUUUUCCAAUGACUCCAACAUUUUUGGAUCAUAAAAUAUGCAGUAUUGUUUUUAAACACAAAUCAAAUUAAGCAAUGUUUUCUGAUUGACUAUACUCAGUAAUUUUUGUGCACGUCACAAAAAUCUUAUGGAAGAAAUAGAGAUCAUGACUUUAUGAGCCAGGAAGGGGAAGCUUAUCUAUGCAUCAAGAAAAUCCAAUAACAUUUCUGGCACAAUAAGAAGUUGACUAAAACAUCAGGAUAGAGAGAUCUGGAGAAUUUGUGACCAGAAACUUUUAGGGACUGAAACUAUUUACGACUCCCUCUUUUUUCAUCAAAGCUUCAUCUUGACACCUGUUGUGAAAUUUGCCCAUAUUGGAUGAAAAUGUUCAAAUUUUGAAAUACUUAUAGGGAAGUAAAAUAUUUGUUUCCUUUAUUUGACAAAAUGUAGGUCUUACCUGUCAGAAUAACAGACCCACAACAGCAGCCAAAUAUUUGUCUGUUAUUUCAGUCAUUAAUUUUGAUCCUUUUACUCCUGGGCUGUUUUGGUGGGUAGUAUGAAAAAGGGAGAUGACUAGAAAUGUCCCUUAACUGGAGUACCCAGAGAAGGUGGCUCUUCUUGUGUGUGUCAGUACAUGAGCAACUGCUCUUUGGUGUGGAGUUUGAUGUUACAGCCAUCUGCUGCCAUAGCACAAGCAUUUUCUUUUAGCUACAGAUGCUGAAUGGCAGAGAUUACCAAACCAACAAAGUUUCCACUACUAGGAGCCUGAGAGUCCCUCAAAAGAUGAAUAUUUUAUGUAGAUGGUCUCACACUUCAGGAGUGUGAGUAACAGAGUUAAUUCAAAUGUAUUUCACGUGAUGUCAGGAGCUAGUCCUUUUAUGUCAUUUUGUCUUUUUAAAGGUAAUUUUUUCCCUAUUCUUUGUGGUGAUUAUUUAAAAUAAAGUUGCCAUAUCUUUUCA